RNAcentral lists this ribosomal RNA (421 nucleotides) under uncultured bacterium. RNAcentral's name for it is "bacterial SSU rRNA". It matches the Rfam family "Bacterial small subunit ribosomal RNA", at positions 362 to 776 of the family's 1533-position model. The record is from RNAcentral.
UCUUCCGCAAUGGACGAAAGUCUGACGGAGCAACGCCGCGUGAGUGAUGAAGGUUUUCGGAUCGUAAAGCUCUGUUGCCAGGGAAGAACGCUUGUGAGAGUAACUGCUCACAAGGUGACGGUACCUGAGAAGAAAGCCCCGGCUAACUACGUGCCAGCAGCCGCGGUAAUACGUAGGGGGCAAGCGUUGUCCGGAAUUAUUGGGCGUAAAGCGCGCGCAGGCGGUCAAUUAAGUCUGGUGUUUAAGGCUGUGGCUCAACCACAGUUCGCACUGGAAACUGGUUGACUUGAGUACAGAAGAGGAAAGUGGAAUUCCACGUGUAGCGGUGAAAUGCGUAGAGAUGUGGAGGAACACCAGUGGCGAAGGCGACUUUCUGGGCUGUAACUGACGCUGAGGCGCGAAAGCGUGGGGAGCAAACAGG